Molecule: ribosomal RNA, 484 nt
Filed under: uncultured bacterium
Lineage: Bacteria
Description: partial 16S ribosomal RNA
Rfam family: Bacterial small subunit ribosomal RNA
Source: RNAcentral
GACGAACGCUGGCGGCGUGCUUAACACAUGCAAGUCGAACGAUGAAGCCGGAGCUUGCUCUGGUGAAUUAGUGGCGAACGGGUGAGUAACACGUGAGUAACCUGCCCUUGACUCUGGGAUAACUGCGGGAAACUGUAGCUAAUACCGGAUACGACCCUCGGAGGCAUCUCCUGGGGGUGGAAAGAAUUUCGGUCAAGGAUGGACUCGCGGCCUAUCAGCUAGUUGGUGAGGUAAAGGCUCACCAAGGCGACGACGGGUAGCCGGCCUGAGAGGGUGACCGGCCACACUGUGACUGAGACACGGCCCAGACUCCUACGGGAGGCAGCAGUGGGGAAUAUUGCACAAUGGGCGCAAGCCUGAUGCAGGAACGCCGCGUGAGGGAUGACGGCCUUCGGGUUGUAAACCUCUUUUAGCAGGGAAGAAGCGAAAGUGACGGUACCUGCAGAAAAAGCACCGGCUAACUACGUGCCAGCCGCCGCGGUAA